UCGUAGCCCCGAAACACGAACGCGAACACGUAACGUAAAAGCCGCCGGGGAGGGUCCUCCUCCCCGGACCCACCGGCCCCGGCCCUUCGGCCGGGUGUCGGAAAACGGCGCGGACUGUCGCCAAGGAACACCGAUCUGCCCUGUGCAUACCGCAACCUGCGGCGCUGCUGGGGCCAACGAAAC
This 183-nucleotide unclassified non-coding RNA is filed under the name Cyperus ascocapensis. Its description in RNAcentral is "partial ITS1". Lineage: Eukaryota; Viridiplantae; Streptophyta; Magnoliopsida; Poales; Cyperaceae. The record is from RNAcentral.